Molecule: long non-coding RNA, 561 nt
Organism: Cygnus olor (mute swan)
Lineage: Eukaryota; Metazoa; Chordata; Aves; Anseriformes; Anatidae
Exons: 2
Source: RefSeq, a predicted model, not a curated record
GGGACUCCUCCACAAUGUUUUUCUCUUACCAGAUGUGCAUGUCCUUGCAAAAAGAAAAGGCAAGAGGCUAUGUUUCCAUCCCUUUCUGUUCCUGUCACUGCUGAAGACAAUACAUGAUAGCAGAAUAUGAAGUUUCAUAAGGAUAAACCCUAUAAAAGCAGUCAAAAGUCUUGAUGGCAUUCCAACUGGUUUGUACCUCAGUGAAGACAAAACCCUAAUCGUGGUUGCUGGCUCUUUUCCUGCAGUAAAAUCUGGUCUACAGUAGAAAAAGACUGUAACAGCUUCCUUUCAAAAAUUUGAUCAUUCCUUAGCGAGGCAAAUAGCUAUAUUUGCUGAUAUCUAACAUUUCCGUAAACCAUCAUCUCUGUGACAGCAUUAAAAAAGCCAAUGUAGUGAUGCAUGUUUUAUUUCAUUUGCAUUUUUUCAUUCCAGUAUUGCUUUUGUCAUUGUAACCCACUAAUAACACUGUCCUCUCUCUCAGAGCAUUUCUCUUGGUAUCUUGGAUCAGUAGACAGACCUUUUACAGAAUAAAAAUUUGAGUACACUCCAUGGAAGCUGGAA